AACGCAUAUUGCACUCUCUGGUAUUCCGGAGAGUAUGCCUGUUUCAGUAUCAGUAAACACCAUCAAACACCUCCUUGGAGGAGUUUGGAUUUGAGCGUCGCCGAGAAAACUUACCUCUUUUCGGCCCGCUCGAAAUGCAAGUACACAGGACAGGAUCCUAGACCCCCGAGGUGGGAAAAAAAAGCGUAGUAGUUGACUUUACUGUCUUCUUUCGCUGAAAAAGAACACCCGGUUUUUUUGGGAUCUUGCUGUGCAAAUUCGCAGGAAGAAAAGUAAUAUUCUUUUCACUUCUUGAUCUGAAAUCAGGUAGGACUACCCGCUGAACUUAA
This 329-nucleotide unclassified non-coding RNA is filed under the name uncultured fungus. Its description in RNAcentral is "partial contains 5.8S ribosomal RNA, internal transcribed spacer 2, and large subunit ribosomal RNA". RNAcentral also lists the same sequence under 1 other name. Lineage: Eukaryota; Fungi. The record is from RNAcentral.